Molecule: non-coding RNA, 1989 nt
Organism: Malus domestica (apple)
Lineage: Eukaryota; Viridiplantae; Streptophyta; Magnoliopsida; Rosales; Rosaceae
Source: RefSeq, a predicted model, not a curated record
GAAGGUGCUCUUCCAUUUUCUUCCGUCGCUUUUCCCCUUCUCUUCCUCUCUAUUUCUGUGCUUUUCUCCCUGCAUCAAUCCUUCGUGUUUCCCUGCUUCUCUUCGCCUCCUCCUCCGCCCAAGAGCCACUGGUCAAUCUGGUUUCUCUGGCUUCUUCCGAUGGCGGCCAAGAUUUCGUCAUUGAGGAGAUGAAUGAUGGAGGUCAAUUGGAUCUUGAAUACGAUUUCUACAACGAGACUUGCCCAGAAACUGAGACCAUUGUGAGGUCGACGAUGACGCAGAUUACACCCACCAGAAGAAUGUCUCUGCUCAGGUACUGCGCCUCUUCUUCCAUGACUGCUUCAUUCAGGUCCCAUUCUUGGAUAUCCGAAUAUGCGCUCGAACUAACUCUCCGAGGCCGCUGAUCUUGGAUUCGCCACUACUAUAUUUCCUUACCUCGGAUUCAUUUCCGACGUUCUAAUUCUACGGAAUAAGCAGAAUGUCGCUGAUCGAUAAAAGAAUCCUCUUUCAUCAUAUUCUCUCAGUAAAAUAUUAAAGCAACGUUGCUAAUGGUGUACCUGUGACGAUGCAACGUUGAUAUGCUUCUGUGUCAAUUUGGCUUCAGUUAUUUGUUUCUGCUGUUGAUCGGCUGUCAUCAUACUAUGCAAUGAACUCUUCUCCUUCAAAUAUAUCAUCUUCUGAUUGUGUAAUCUUCAUGAAACUUGGUUGCAAGGCAAGUUGAAAACGCACAAAAGUUUGAUCGCGUCCUAUAGAAUUGCCAGAGAAGGUCAUCUCCAUUUCAUGCAAAUCAGACUUUUUUCUGCACACAAAAACACUAGGAUGCUUUCUUAAUGACCAACAUAGCAGAGGACAACUUUUAGUGUUGCAGGAAACAACAUUUCUCAUUAAUGUUUUUAGAUAGGAAGCAAUUUGUGUUUUUUCGUAUCCAAAGAACUUUGUAAUAUUUUUAAUAGACGAAAUAGGUUUCUCUUUUGAAAUUUAAAUUUGUUUCAUUCAUGAUGAGGUUGUGUAUAAUUUGCAUUGGCAAUGUAACUCAGUUUUUGACUCAAACAUUGUUUAUGAAGAUUGAAAUUGCAUAAUCUUUCAUAUAGUUUUGAAUCCCGCAACAACGCUCAGGAUUUAGCUAAUAGGCAAUCAGCUGUGAGGUAGGAGAGAAAAGUGAGGUAUACGAAUGAGCUGGAGAGAAUGCUGCUGAAGCUUCAGACUGAGGCAACCACCCUCUCAGCACAGGUCACUCUUUUACAGGUAUAUACCCAUUAUUUAUUGUUUUUGCUUCUUUGUUAAUUGGAAUCAAAUUGUGGUUCCUCUUGGGUCUUCGUUGGAGCAGUGCAAAUUGGUUUUCGGACCCCAUAUCACAGUUUUCAGCAACUCGGCUGGUAAUUUUGGGGAUAAACCCAUUUGAAAAAUUUAGUUGUUUUUGUUUUUGGUUAUGUUUAUUUGCCAAAGUAAUGACUUUGGUUUCAUGGUUGUGGAUUCGUGAGUGUGACCAUGGAGGUUCAAAAGCUAGGGAGCCUAAAGGGCAAUUGGAAUUAGUCAUAAGAAAUAGAGUGAAGAAACCCUAGAACAGCUGAAGAGAUCCAUAAGCAUUUUGGUUGUAGGCUACAGAGCACAGGAGAGUUCAAAAUGAGCUUUCAAGUGUUAUUCAGAAGAUAACUUCACUGAAUGAUAUGUGCAAACGAUCACAAGAAUACAUUGCAAGCUUGCAACAGUACAGUAGGCAAGGUUGCAACAGUGCAAUAGCAAACUGCACAAUGACUUCUUAAAGGUUGAGGAAGAAUUUAAGUGCAUGGAGAAGGAAAAAGUGAAUAUGGUGGUGAACCUGAGCAUGUUACUUUCAGUCUCCAGAGUGAGCUUCUCAUUUGAAAUUGUUUCUAAUGCAUAAGGAAUUUCUUUUAUUAUGUAUCAAUAAAUCUGACUUCCAUGUUCUCUUGAGUAGACAUGUAUUGAAAAUUCUAUACAGGGUGACACACUUCAACCCAUUUCACAUGU